CCUGUUUUUUUCCCUCGGAAACAUAAUGUUUACAGUAAAAACACUCUUGUCUCGCUGAGUAAACUGAUUUUAUUUGUUGGAAAGAAGAACAUUUCUUACAGGGUAGAAAGUUAUACAUUUUUGUCACCACCGUAAUUUUUGGAACAAUAAUUCGUCUGUAAGUAGAUAUUUUGAUUAAAAAUAAUUUUUACCCGAUGGUGCAUGACAUAUGAAAAGCUACAACAUUAUAAUAUAAUAAGCAGUCAUGAAAGUCUGACAAUAUUAUCCAAUGAAAUAAUAUUCCAAAAAAGAACUGAUGGAUGCGCCACUGAGGGAAGUUGGAAGGGUCGGAAGGAGAAUAUUCUAUAAUUUAUAUCUGUAUGUAACGAUUAACCAUUGCUAACAAAAAAACGAUUUUGAGCAUAAGUAAUAUUUUUCCCUUAUUAUCGUGUUAACAUGGUAAUCAACAAACAUUUUACUAAAAAUUGUCAGUUUUUCCCAAAUAUUAAGAAAACCCUUCGAAAAUAAAAAAAUACCUCUCAUAUGCAUUAACUAGAUUUAAAACGCAACAAAAAAGGUAUCUUAUUUUUUAAUUGGAGUGAGAUUACUAGUAGAAAAGUUAUUUACAAACAUACACAUAAAAAAUAUUCACACAUAUUAUAUUAAAAUCAAUAGAUUUUUCGCUACAGAAUCUAAUAAUAUGUUUCUAAAAAAACAUGAUUCCACGAAUAAAAUUCUGACAAAAUAAAAUUUCAACGUAAUUCAGUUAAAAAUAUUCGUAGACUUAUAAUUUUCACAGAAAACUUAGAUAUGAUUUUUUAGAUGUUGUAAAACUUUCAUUUUCACUUACAAUUGAGUUAUUUAUAGAUAUUUCAGUUUUACAAGUUUUUACGUAAUUUUUAUUUGGUAAGUACUCUGUUAAACUCUGUUAAAUAAACUGUUAGACUUAAUAGAAUUGAUUGAAAAUUUAAUAAGAGGUUCUUUCUAUAAGUUAUACCUAGUGGUCAAAAAAAUCAAAUUAGUUAAUGUAGUAUUUUUUUUACAAGAAUUUUAAAAUCAAAUUUUGAAGAUAAAUCAAGCUAAGAGUAUAUUGAGUGAACAACGGAAUGGGCGAUCACCUCAAAUCGCCUCUCCUAGAUCUUGCACUGGAUUGAAAAUACAUCAAAUAUUUGAAUAUGAGUAUACGAAUAGAUAUACUAUGUUGACUCGUAUUUUACGAAUUGUAAAUAUAUUUUGCGAUUAACAGUUCUUAACAAAUAAUUCAAUCAGUAUUAUUUUUUAUGUAUUAAAUGGCUUGCACACGAAUUGUUUUUUUGAACAUUAAUUGAAACACGCAAGUCAGAUUUUCUUUUAGAAAAAGUGCUACAUUUAUAAAUCGGAGCAAUAUUUCUAGUAGAAAAGUUGUUCACAAAUAAAAAAAAAAUAAAGAUCAUUGUAAAACCAUAAGCUUCUUCGAUCCACUCAAAAUCCAAAAUGACUUUCUUUUUCACCAACUAGAUUAAAAAUUCCCUUGAUUUUUUUUAUUGGAGUGAUAUUUAUGAUGGAUAACAAUUAGCCGUAGCAAUUUUAAAUAAUAAAAUCACUAAAAUACACGCCGUAAUAUAAAAAAAAUCGUAUUUUUUUUAUCUUUUUUGUUUUUUCCUAUUUAUUUCGAAAACCUUUGGAAAAAUAAAAAAUAUGCACCAACUAGAAAAAAUUAUCUUUCAGAAAAGGUGCUAUUAUUUAUAAUUCGGAGCAAGUUUUCUGGUAGAAAAAUUGUUCAAAGAUCGAAAUAAAAAUACAAAAACACACAUCAUAGAAAAACCAAUGGAUCCCUCAGCACGCACCGAAUCUAAAAUACGGUAAUUGGAGGAUUGGAACAUAAUCGUAGCCCUGUCCAUGGUCUUUUAGGUAUACUAUAUUUUUGUUGCGUUUCCCUCUAAUAUUUGUUUUUAUCUAUGUUAUUUUACACUGGACUUUGGUAUCAUUAUCAAUUACCUACCAUUUAUCAGUAUCAAUAAUAUAUUAUACAAAAAGUCGAAUUCCGAUAGUAUUGUAUUAUUAUAAGCAUUUAAAAACAAAGACUAAAAAACCAUAUAAUUGCAUUACAGCGAUUGUUGUACGAAUAUUGUGUACGCCGUCUAUGGCAGCAGUAAUAUCGAAUAAUACAAAUUAUAUUACUUUGUGUAGUACAGGAAGUACGCGUAAGUAAACCGCUAUAAGAUAAGUCGUUUAUUAUAUUGUAAAAGCGGGGUCGAAUUAAAAGCACAGUAUUGAAUAUUAGCUACAUAAUAGGUAUAUUAUGUACUAUCGAGUUCGGUGUAAUUAUAUGGAUACUCACAUUAGAAUAAUUAUUUAACAAACGAAUGUCACAUUGUAAUAAUAUUAUAGUAGGUAUAUCAAAUAUAUAACAAAAUUUUUGUUUGUAUUUAAAUACGAGUAUAAUAAUAGGCGCGAGCUCAAUUUACAAUAAGUUAAAAACAUUACAACAUGUACGUUAAAUGCAUAAUACAUACCUAGUCAUAAUAUUAUUUAAUAUUAUAAUAAAUUAUUGUCUAUAACAUAUUAGACGAACAUUUUCCAUAAUUGUAGAGGGGGCUGAUGUUUCAAAAUACUUUAUUGCGUAUCAAAGCCGCCUUCUGCACCUGCAAAAACUAUGUUACCUACUUUAAACACCGUAAAUAACCAAAGUGUGAUUUAUUUUAGACAUUUUAUACCGGCUAUACUAAACCAAUAUUUACGAGUAGGUAUGUUAGAUUGUAUACCUAUAUGGGUAAUUGUUGAUUUAUUAUACAGGGUUUGCCCUAAAAAGGGCCUUUUCGGCUGCUAAUCGUGAUCGAUAGAAUUGAGAAUCAAUCGCCCGGGACCACGAUAAGCCAGCUCAUUAUAUCGGAAAGUAUUAACUUUUUUUUUUGAAUUUUUUUUGCAAACAAUUUAUAAACAGAUGGCUCGUUAUUUGUUGUGACUCUUAUUUUUGUGAUUAAAUCCAUUAAAAACUUGAUUUUCAAAUAGCAGCCUAUAUUAAUAGUAUUCUUUAUAUAGUACAAUAAAGGAAUAAAACGUAGGUAUAGGUAUAGGUAAAGAUAUGCCAGUGUUUAAAUGUAUAUAAUUUACAAAAGUAAUUGAAAAUGUUUUAGACCAACAGCGCACACUGAGGGGGAGGGGUUAAUUGGCCACCCCCCUAUCCGAAAUGUCUUUCUUCGCUACAUUUUUUUAAAACCAAGUAUUACAUUUAACAACAUAAUAUCUUAUACCACAGAAUAAAAUAAAAUUUAAUAUCAUCACAAAUUAUUUAAUGGUGAUAAUACUGUACUUAUAAUAUUUGCUAUCCCCUCUCUAGAAAAUUAUUAUAAACAAAACCCCCCUCGAAAAAAUGCCUACGUGCACUACUGUUUUAGAUUUCAGAAAGUCUGAUAAGUUUCAAUGAGGACCUCCAUGGUAACUGUUUAGUGACUCCAGGUUUAUAGUUUAUACACAAGAUGAGUUUAAGGGGGGGGGGUUAUUUUCUUAAAGUGGGUAGGAGAAAGUCGAAAUUGGUGGCUGUAGGUAAAUAUUAUUCACUUCACGGCGCCUCCACUAUUCUUUCCCUACCUAAAUUUAAGAGUGGAAUAUCCCGUCAACGGGUAAAUAACAUAAAAAAUAUCAACAUCAAAACUAAAACUUUAUCUAUUUAUGGGAUUUUAUAAUUUAGGUAUAUAGAUAAGUAUAGAUAUUUACUAUUUGAAAAAGUGGGUUAAUAAUCGCACCAUCAGAUAUAAGGGUGACGAAAAAUAAUUCUAUAUAUUAAAUAUAUUAGAUAUUUUUUAUUCUUAAAAUAAAUUACAAUAAAUUUAUAUUAUGUAAAUAACGACGACAAGAAAAAAAAAUCGCUCACAUUAUUGUUACCGAGGCCGGAAAAUUUGGCGACAACUAUUAUAGUGGCUUUUUUUAUUUAUAUUUUUAAGAUUUUUAAGAUUUUUUUCAUUCAUGUUUCAGGGUUUUAUAACUAUGAAGACGAAGGUAGAUGCUCCACACAGGC
Molecule: long non-coding RNA, 3976 nt
Filed under: Cinara cedri
Lineage: Eukaryota; Metazoa; Arthropoda; Insecta; Hemiptera; Aphididae
Source: RNAcentral